UGUCUUCGUUACGAUUCCAUUUUCAUUAUGCUCGAUCUAAUAAUAAUUCUUCUAACGCUACCGGCCGUUCCCGAUGCGAACGGGGUUUUCUCUUCCGAUCUGCGAUCACCGUACGAUCUAUAAGUUUUUCAAAGUAUGCGUAUAAAUCUAACUUCUUUUUAAACGCAUCGAUUAUAUAAGCGAGAGAAAAGCUGACGCACGAAAAUAAGUUUUAACAAAAAUCAACGGUUGCAGUUUCGAUAGCGUUUUAUUUUAACCAAUGUUUCCUCAAUCGCGAGUCCUUGUCGUAAAUUAGAGCUGCGUCGACCGUGAAAAACCGUCAUCGAUCGUUGCGUUUCGUGUAAAAUCGGGAAACGUUCGUUCUUUUUCGACGGAACCGUCAAGUAGAUAUGCUACCAAAAAACAACUUGGAAAAGAUACGUGUUCAACCACAACCUAAUCCAGACCAUGCUAGAGAUACGUAAACAUCGUAACAACAGUCGAGGAGCCUGGAAAUAUCGACUGACGCAUCCACGCGACGAAUGUGUUCUUUUUAUUAACUAGGUAUCCUACGAUUUCUGCUUUGCCAAUCGUCUGCUCGAAAUCCAGACGAUUUUAUUUCCGGUCCAGGGUCAAAGUAUCGCGAUUAAAUCAUUUCUAUGUUUCAUAUUACCUUUCCUAUGAUCGAAGUGUCGAGUAAAAUCGAAAGUAAAGGGAGAUCCCAUGAUCGUCUGCAUCUUAUGCACGUGGAAUUGCGUAAGACUAGAGCCGCGUGGGUGUAGGUGUGCAUGAGAACACUUUAAUGCGUUCAAUCAGAUAGACACCAUGCGUGCAAGCCACGAAAUAUGUCAUUACGUGAUUAUCAUAUCGUCACUCUAAUUAGGAAACCUUGUAAUUCUACUUUUGGCAAAACAUUUUCGAAUAAACAUAGUACAAUUCAGUACAGGAUAAUGAUCUUGUAAAAUUAAAUUAUUUAAACAAAUUUUCCCAAUGAGUGUGUUAAUAUCAAUGAUCACAAU
Long non-coding RNA from Osmia lignaria (orchard mason bee), 998 nucleotides. RefSeq lists it as uncharacterized. NCBI's taxonomy places the organism in Eukaryota, Metazoa, Arthropoda, Insecta, Hymenoptera, Megachilidae. The record is from RefSeq and is a predicted model, not a curated record.